This 19-nucleotide small nuclear RNA is filed under the name Arabidopsis thaliana (thale cress). Its description in RNAcentral is "snRNA_04693". Lineage: Eukaryota; Viridiplantae; Streptophyta; Magnoliopsida; Brassicales; Brassicaceae. The record is from RNAcentral.
AAUAGUUUCUCAACUGUAG